CUUGUUUCCUGGGCGGGCUCGCCCGCCACCAGGACAAACCAUAAACCUUUUGCAAUUGCAAUCAGCGUCAGUAACAAACAUAAUAAUUACAACUUUCAACAACGGAUCUCUUGGUUCUGGCAUCGAUGAAGAACGCAGCGAAAUGCGAUAAGUAGUGUGAAUUGCAGAAUUCAGUGAAUCAUCGAAUCUUUGAACGCACAUUGCGCCCUUUGGUAUUCCAAAGGGCAUGCCUGUUCGAGCGUCAUUUGUACCCUCAAGCUCUGCUUGGUGUUGGGCGUCUUUGUCUUCCCAGAAGACUCGCCUUAAAGUCAUUGGCAGCCGGCCUACUGGUUUCGGAGCGCAGCACAAGUCGCGCUCUCUUCCAGCCAAGGUCAGCGUCCACAAAGCCUUUUUUUCAACUUUUGACCUCGGAUCAGGUAGGGAUACCCGCUGAACUUAAGCAUAUCAAUAAGCGGAGGA
This 459-nucleotide ribosomal RNA is filed under the name Ascomycota sp. PVF17. Its description in RNAcentral is "eukaryotic LSU rRNA". The stretch from base 91 to 244 matches the Rfam family "5.8S ribosomal RNA". The record is from RNAcentral. Lineage: Eukaryota; Fungi; Ascomycota.